CUACUACGUGCAGCAGCCGCGUAAUACGUAGGGUGCGAGGCGUAAUCGGAAUUACUGGGCGUAAAGCGUGCGCAGGCGGUUUUGUAAGACAGGCGUGAAAUCCCCGGGCUCAACCUGGGAACUGCGCUUGUGACUGCAAGGCUAGAGUAUGGCAGAGGGGGGUGGAAUUUCCACGUGUAGCAGUGAAAUGCGUAGAGAUGUGGAGGAACACCAAUGGCGAAGGCAGCCCCCUGGGCCAAUACUGACGCUCAUGCACGAAAGCGUGGGUAGCAAACAGGAUUAGAUACCCUGGUAGUCCACGCCCUAAACGAUGUCAACUAGGUGUUGGGUGGGUGAAACCAUUUAGUACCGUAGCUAACGCGUGAAGUUGACCGCCUGGGGAGUACGGCCGCAAGGUUAAAACUCAAAGGAAUUGACGGGGACCCGCACAAGCGGUGGAUGAUGUGGAUUAAUUCGAUGCAACGCGAAAAACCUUACCUACCCUUGACAUGUCUGGAAUCCUGAAGAGAUUUGGGAGUGCCCGAAAGGGAACCGGAACACAGGUGCUGCAUGGCUGUCGUCAGCUCGUGUCGUGAGAUGUUGGGUUAAGUCCCGCAACGAGCGCAACCCUUGUCGUUAAUUGCCAUCAUUUAGUUGGGCACUUUAACGAGACUGCCGGUGACAAACCGGAGGAAGGUGGGGAUGACGUCAAGUCCUCAUGGCCCUUAUGGGUAGGGCUUCACACGUCAUACAAUGGUCGGUACAGAGGGUUGCCAAGCCGCGAGGUGGAGCCAAUCCCAGAAAGCCGAUCGUAGUCCGGAUCGUAGUCUGCAACUCGACUGCGUGAAGUCGGAAUCGCUAGUAAUCGCGGAUCAGCAUGUCGCGGUGAAUACGUUCCCGGGUCUCGUACACACCGCCCGUCACACCAUGGGAGCGGGUUCCGCCAGAAGUAGGUAGCCUAACCGCAAGGAGGGCGCUUACCACGGCGGGGUUCGUGACUGGGGUGAAGUCGUAACAAGGUAACCAAU
RNAcentral lists this ribosomal RNA (1007 nucleotides) under uncultured beta proteobacterium. RNAcentral describes it as "bacterial SSU rRNA". It matches the Rfam family "Bacterial small subunit ribosomal RNA", at positions 498 to 1504 of the family's 1533-position model. Lineage: Bacteria; Pseudomonadati; Pseudomonadota; Betaproteobacteria. The record is from RNAcentral.